CCGGCGAUAGCUCAGUUGGCAGAGCGGAGGACUGUAGAUGCGAUGAGCAGAAAUCCUUAGGUCGGUGGUUCAAAUCCGCCUCGCCGGA
Molecule: transfer RNA, 88 nt
Filed under: Hymenolepis diminuta
Lineage: Eukaryota; Metazoa; Platyhelminthes; Cestoda; Cyclophyllidea; Hymenolepididae
Also listed under: 1 other name
Rfam family: tRNA
About the family: Transfer RNA (tRNA) molecules are approximately 80 nucleotides in length.
Source: Rfam by way of RNAcentral